Neotoma lepida (desert woodrat) is the source of this 70-nucleotide non-coding RNA. Lineage: Eukaryota; Metazoa; Chordata; Mammalia; Rodentia; Cricetidae. The record is from Rfam.
GGAGAGAUGGCUCAGAGGUUAAGAGCACUGGCUGCUCUUCCAGAGGUCCUGAGUUCAAUUCUCAGCACCC